GAUCGUACGACGACUGACUAGUAUAAUGUCAAUACGACUACGCCAAAGGGCGAACUGGGCCGCACGUGCAUGCUCCCCGUCAGCCAUGGCGGCAGCUGGAAAUAGAUUAGAUGUUUGAUCAUGGCUCAGAACGAACGCUGGGGGCGGGCCUUACACGUGCGAGUCGGACGCCUGUAGCACUACAGGAGUGGCAGACGGGUGAGGAAAACGAGGGAACGUACCCUUUGGUUCGGAAUAACUCAGGGAAACUCGAGCUAAUACCGGAUAAGUGCGAGAGCAGAAAGAUUUAUCGCCGAAGGAUUGGCCCGCGUCUGAUUAGCUAGUUGGUGAGGUAAUGGCUCACCAAGGCGACGAUCAGUAGCUGGUCUGAGAGGAUGAUCAGCCACAUUGGGACUGAGACACGGCCCAAACUCCUACGGGAGGCAGCAGUGGGGAAUAUUGGACAAUGGGCGCAAGCCUGAUCCAGCCAUGCCGCGUGAGUGAUGAAGGCCUUAGGGUUGUAAAGCUCUUUUACCCAAAAAGAUAAARAACUGUACCGGGAGAAUAAGCCCCGGCUAACUUCGUGCCAGCAGCCGCGGUAAUACGAAGGGGGCUAGCGUUGUUCGGAUUUACUGGGCGUAAAGCGCACGUAGGCGGAUCUUUAAGUCGGUGGUGAAAUCCCAAGGCUCAACCUUGGAAUUGCCUUCGAUACUGGGGGAUCUUGGAGUAUGGUAGAGGUUGGUGGAACUGCGAGUGUAGAGGUGAAAUUCGUAGAUAUUUCGCAAGAACACCAGUGCGCGAAGGCCGGCCAACUGGGACCAUAACCUGACGCUGAGGUGCGAAAGGCGUGGGGAGCAAACAGGGAUUAGAUACCCUGGUAGUCCACGCUGUAUUUUUUUGAAUGGCUAGCCGUUGGCCAGCUUGCUUGGUCACGUGGCGCAGAUAACUACUUUAAGCAUUCCGCCUGGGGGAGUACGGGCGCAAGAUUAAAACUCAAAGGAAUUUGUACGGGGGCCCGCACAAGCGGUGGAGCAUGUGGUUUAAUUCGAAGCAACCGCGCAGAACCAUUACCAGCUUUUGUAACAUGCCACGACGGUUUCCAGAGAAUAGAAUUCCUUUUC
RNAcentral lists this ribosomal RNA (1100 nucleotides) under uncultured bacterium. RNAcentral describes it as "bacterial SSU rRNA". It matches the Rfam family "Bacterial small subunit ribosomal RNA", at positions 1 to 1022 of the family's 1533-position model. The record is from RNAcentral.